GGAGCUUGAGGAAAAUCACCACUGCUGCUGCUCAUGGCCAUGCUUGGCUCAGCCCAAUGCCUCAAGUGCCCAGACUUCCACUCUGAUGAUGCUUUUCUGUGUUAUUUUACAAAAGGCCUAUAUCUAACAGCCAUGAUGAAGAGAGAGCAAAGCUGAAAAGCUGGCAGUACCAGUUCACACACACAGGAAUCAUAAUCCCCCUUCCAUGACACUUAAAGGCUCUGAUUUGUCAAUAAACAAAUUCAGGUUGUCAUUCAUGGGAAAA
Lonchura striata (white-rumped munia) is the source of this 265-nucleotide non-coding RNA. The record is from RefSeq and is a predicted model, not a curated record. NCBI's taxonomy places the organism in Eukaryota, Metazoa, Chordata, Aves, Passeriformes, Estrildidae.